RNAcentral lists this transfer RNA (29 nucleotides) under Afroedura sp. multiporus. Its description in RNAcentral is "partial tRNA-Tyr". The record is from RNAcentral. Lineage: Eukaryota; Metazoa; Chordata; Lepidosauria; Squamata; Gekkonidae.
AAGUAGCCCUUGCUACCAGGAACCUUGCG